This 296-nucleotide unclassified non-coding RNA is filed under the name Hevea brasiliensis (rubber tree). Lineage: Eukaryota; Viridiplantae; Streptophyta; Magnoliopsida; Malpighiales; Euphorbiaceae. The record is from RNAcentral.
AUCGAUGGUAUCGGAGCUCUCGACCUCGAGAGUUAUGGUCUUACCGGUGAGGGUUUUGACGAAGAUCUGCAUAUCGGAGAUUUACGAAGCAAAAGAACAGGCUUUUUCUGAUAGCUGUCGAGAAAAAGAGGACUUUGAACGAUGAAAUGGGAAUGGAAGAAGCGAGUUUAUAUAGAGAAGCGUAUGCAAGCGAAUGGAAAGGAGUGGAAGGAAUAGAAUCCUUCGUAGCAAAGGAAAGAAAGGAGCCGUCAACUUUGAUCGGUGGAAUGCUGGGUUGCGUUAGUUGAGGGUUAAGG